AACGAACGCUGGCGGCGGGCUUAACACAUGCAAGUCGAACGGGUGCAGCAAUGCAUCAGUGGCAGACGGGUGAGUAACACGUGGGAACCUUCCUAGAGGUACGGAACAACGCAGGGAAACUUGCGCUAAUACCGUAUACGCUCGAGAGAGGAAAGAUUUAUCGCCUUUAGACGGGCCCGCGUCGGAUUAGCUAGUUGGUGAGGUAACGGCUCACCAAGGCGACGAUCCGUAGCUGAUCUGAGAGGAUGAUCAGCCACACUGGGACUGAGACACGGCCCAGACUCCUACGGGAGGCAGCAGUGGGGAAUCUUGGACAAUGGGCGCAAGCCUGAUCCAGCCAUGCCGCGUGAGUGAAGAAGGCCUUCGGGUUGUAAAGCUCUUUUACCAGGGACGAUAAUGACGGUACCUGGAGAAUAAGCCCCGGCAAACUUCGUGCCAGCCGCCGCCGUAA
This 451-nucleotide ribosomal RNA is filed under the name uncultured bacterium. Its description in RNAcentral is "partial 16S ribosomal RNA". It matches the Rfam family "Bacterial small subunit ribosomal RNA", at positions 29 to 523 of the family's 1533-position model. The record is from RNAcentral.